UAAACGACGCAUUUUGCUCCUCGUCUGCUUUCCGCCUUUCCAUUUUCUCAAAGUCAUAACUCUCUUCUCUAAGGCGAAGACAAGAAAUUCUAAUCUGCGAUUCUCUUUGUUUCUUCUUCAUUCUCCAACGAAAUCGACACUCCAACCGAAGGUCUUCAUCUGCCUCCUAACUUCGUACAUCGUUGAAAAUCAAGGGCAUAAAAAGAAAACAUCCAUCUACUAGGUCCGGUGGAGUCUCCACUAGAGCUUGAAAGGCGGUCUCAGAUGGGAAUAAGCCGGUAGGAGAAGAGGCAGUUCAUCAAGAGAGUACUCCAGUGAGAGAAACGACUGUAGUUUCACUCUCACUUGAUUCGGAAAGUGAAGACAUGUCUGCUGUAUCAUCCAAGGCAAGGUAACCACCGCAACACCUUGAAUUUUACUUCAAGAGCAUGGAGUUCACAAAGACUUGCAAGAUUCAAACCAAUGCUAUGUGAAGAAGACAGUCGAUAUGAUUAAGAACUUUAAGGAGGAGGUUAAAUGGUUCACAACUCAUCCUCAGUUUUGCCAUUUCUCCCACAUGCCUGAUGAAGAAUACCUGAAGCUCCAAGUAAUGUGCAUGUUACUCAUGCACACCAUUUGUACUGAAGAAAAAGAUGUUGCAUGGUUUGCGGUGAAUGGUGUGCCCAUCCGCUAUUCUAUGAGGGAGCAUGCUAUCAUCUCUGGCUUACACUGCCAUGAGUAUCCGAGGAGAUAUUUGAAGCUCAGGGGUUUUAAGUCAUUACUUCAGUGGGAAACAAAGGAACACCAUAACAGAUGUGGAGCACAAGCUGUUAUCUAUGAAGAAGCCAUAUAAUGAUAAGAUUGUAAGCUGACUGUCUUGUUCUUUUUUGGUGGGGUUAUCAGAGGAAAGCGAAAGGAUUGUGGAGCAGUAAAUCUGUUCAUCUUAAGGAUUGUGGAAGAUUUGGAUGUUUGCAGAAUAUUUUCUUGGGGUCGUCUAAUAUUCGAGGAUGCAAUAAAGAAGAUUAAGCAUAUGGUGAGGCUUUU
Long non-coding RNA from Raphanus sativus (radish), 1023 nucleotides. RefSeq lists it as uncharacterized. Lineage: Eukaryota; Viridiplantae; Streptophyta; Magnoliopsida; Brassicales; Brassicaceae. The record is from RefSeq and is a predicted model, not a curated record. The transcript has 3 exons.